GCCAGUGAAGCCACCCUCCGGCUUCCUCACCACCCUCUGCUUGGCCUUUUUGCAAUUCCAACAACCUCUGACUGGCCUCCUCUGUUGCCUUGCUUCUCAAACUUUUUGGAUUUAGGAUUCCUUUACAUUCUUACAUAUCUUUUGUGAUCUUGUCGUUUAUCAUAAGAAUAUAGUCGUUUUUUUUUAUUCCCGUGAAAAACAAGGAGCACAGAGCUUGGAAUUUCCUAACAGAGAGCUAAAGGUGUCCUUUGGAAUGGUAAUUUCAGAGGCAAAGUGAUCUUGAACAAAUGAUUUCACCUGUCUAGGACUCAGCCUGCCCUGCCAUAAAUAAGAGCAUGAGAACAGGACCAGCCUGGUCAUUCCCAGGGCCAGCCGCUGUGUCAGCAGAGGAACCCUGGCCACCAAAAAGUGGUGCUAGGGGACAGAAGAAGUGAACUCAGUGCUCCGGACCAAAGGAAUGUGGGCUAUGGUGGAGCGGGACUCUAUGCCAAGGGUGCAGCAAGGUCUCUGCCUGAGAAGGACCUCCCUAAAAUGAAGUCUUCAUGAAGGGACAGCCGGCCCCAAAGGAGAAGAGAUUCCACAGAUAAAAUGAAGCAGAAACUUUUUUGACAGUUCCCCGGCACUUUCUCAACCAACCUCUCUCAGAGACCCUGGGGCCUGUUGUCAGGUUUUGCCUGCCUCCCCGCCCCAGCCUUCCCAUAGAAUUGAUCUAAAAGGUAAAAGAAAGAAACUGACCUAAGAGAGGUAAAAAGAAAACAGACCUAAGUUACCAGCCGCCAUCGGUAAAUAAGUUUGUCAGAUCACCACUAAAGCAUUGCGUGGCCUCAGGCAAAUCACUUAACUUCUGAGUGGCAGUUUUCUCCUCUGAAGAAUGAAAGGAGCAGACAAGAAGAACUGAAGGGACCUCAUGUCCGAGGUCCCUUCCAGACAUGACGGCCUAAGUGAGAGCGCCACAUCUUAGCCCGGAGACAAUUCACCCCUUCCCCUUUCAGCGGUUCAGGUGCUGGCCCUCCCUCCAGGACUGACUGUGUAUCCAGAUCCGGAUCCUUCGUGGUCUCAAUCCAGUAUCCAGUUCCUUCGUGGUCUCAACUCCCUUAUAGGUGGCUGUGCAGGGAGACCCACAGGCAGAGAACGGCCACCCAUCCGAAACCAAGCAGGACCCUUGGGGCCCUCUUGGGUACUGUGUCGUUCCCCCCCCCCCCCGCCCUGUUUCUUGUUUAUAGGAAAUAAGUUUCCUCAGCUUCCUAGACCUUCCCUGAGUUCCAGAGGGCAGAUUCCAACAGUUGCUAAGGAGGAAAGUAAGAGAAUGAAGAAACAAAAGAUGAGCAGUCAGGAAAUAAGAGUGCAGCAGUGGGGUGAGGUCUGGGUUCUGCUCAAGGAAUAUACAUGACAACAUAUCUAGGAAUUCUUCUGCAGGAACUAAGGUCCCCACCCAGGUGGAAGAUGGGAAAUUCCGGCUGAGCACCAGAGUCCUGGAACUCUCCCUGUUACCUCACCACCAACCAAUCCAAAGAGUCAUACACCCUGCAGCCCUCACCUCAAAUUUUGGUUAUAAAAACUUCUUCCCUGGAAACCACUGGAGAGUUUGGUUUUGGGGGGGUCACAAGCUACCUGUUCUCCUUGCUUAGUCCUGCAAUAGAACUUUCUGUGCUCCAAACUCCAACAUUUUGGUUUGUUGGGUCUCACUGUGCGUUGGGCACAUGACCAAGCAUUCAGUAACACUUUUGUGCAAUAGCUCCCCAACCAGACUGGUCAUUUCUCCAGACACUGAAAGGUAUCACGGUGUUUGAUGAAGCAGGUGGGGGUCCCUCCAGAGUGCUGGGGCCACAGACUGAAACAGACACUUAGAACUCAUCUGGAAUCUGGCAGCUGCUUCAAAAG
Molecule: RNA transcript, 1881 nt
Organism: Sus scrofa (pig)
Lineage: Eukaryota; Metazoa; Chordata; Mammalia; Artiodactyla; Suidae
Source: RefSeq, a predicted model, not a curated record